Molecule: ribosomal RNA, 426 nt
Filed under: uncultured bacterium
Lineage: Bacteria
Description: bacterial SSU rRNA
Rfam family: Bacterial small subunit ribosomal RNA
Source: RNAcentral
GUGAGGAAUUUUCCGCAAUGGGCGAAAGCCUGACGGAGCAAUGCCGCGUGAAGGAUGAAGGCCUAUGGGUUGUAAACUUCUUUUCUCAGAAAAGAAUUAUGACGGUAUCUGAGGAAUAAGCAUCAGCUAACUCUGUGCCAGCAGCCGCGGUAAGACAGAGGAUGCAAGCGUUAUCCGGAAUGAUUGGGCGUAAAGCGUCUGUAGGUUGUUUAAAAAGUAUUCUGUCAAAGAUUAGGGCUUAACCCUAGAUAGGCAGAAUAAACUUUUAAGCUAGAGUUUGGUAGAGGCAGAGGGAAUUCCCGGUGGAGCGGUGAAAUGCGUAGAUAUCGGGAGGAACACCAAAGGCGAAGGCACUCUGCUGGGCCAAUACUAACACUGAGAGACGAAAGCGAGGGGAGCAAAUGGGAUUAGAAACCCCGGUAGUCC